CUUGACCAAAAAAAAAGACUUGAAGUAGUAAUUUGGAGCUUACAGACCUCACAGAUUCUGCUUAGCAAAAACUGAGUGCCAGAGAAAGAGAGAGGAGAUGGGGAUAGUGGCUAAGGCAGGGGAUUGGGCGUUCAAGGCAUUCACGGCGGGGCUGGGAGUCACCACCAUCUAUCUCACCGGCACUUUCUCUUUAAAUGUCUACAGAGGCAUCGCUUGGCACAAAGCUCAGCCGAAAAUCGAGUAUGAGGAUGAACAAGCCUCAUAAGUCUGAGCUUUCACAGCUGGCUGGGAUCCUAUUCUCUGGGAAAGUUGCAGCAUUGAUUUUUUCCUAUACGUUUUAUAUCUUGAUGUUAUAGAUCUCGGACCAAUUGGCUUUACUAUCCAGUUGUUAUGCGGAGCUUGGUGAUUUGGAUACGGCUUGUUGAAAUACUUCUCUAGCUCCAUUUUAAAGCUAAGAUCACAUUGGGACACCAAAGUUCUGAUCUGUUUGUUAUUAUCCAUUGUUGCAGUAAUAAAAACAAAGUUUUUCAUUUGUUUGAACAUUUCUGCGCAUCUGAGUAAUAUUCCACAUAUGAACUCAUUGCAUCAAUUUGAUUCCA
Molecule: long non-coding RNA, 599 nt
Organism: Rosa chinensis
Lineage: Eukaryota; Viridiplantae; Streptophyta; Magnoliopsida; Rosales; Rosaceae
Exons: 2
Source: RefSeq, a predicted model, not a curated record